This 1021-nucleotide ribosomal RNA is filed under the name Salmonella enterica subsp. enterica serovar Newport. RNAcentral describes it as "partial 23S ribosomal RNA". It matches the Rfam family "Bacterial large subunit ribosomal RNA", at positions 398 to 1418 of the family's 2925-position model. Lineage: Bacteria; Pseudomonadati; Pseudomonadota; Gammaproteobacteria; Enterobacterales; Enterobacteriaceae. The record is from RNAcentral.
UGUGAGCUCGAUGAGUAGGGCGGGACACGUGGUAUCCUGUCUGAAUAUGGGGGGACCAUCCUCCAAGGCUAAAUACUCCUGACUGACCGAUAGUGAACCAGUACCGUGAGGGAAAGGCGAAAAGAACCCCGGCGAGGGGAGUGAAAAAGAACCUGAAACCGUGUACGUACAAGCAGUGGGAGCACCCUUCGGGGUGUGACUGCGUACCUUUUGUAUAAUGGGUCAGCGACUUAUAUUCUGUAGCAAGGUUAACCGAAUAGGGGAGCCGGAGGGAAACCGAGUCUUAACCGGGCGUUAAGUUGCAGGGUAUAGACCCGAAACCCGGUGAUCUAGCCAUGGGCAGGUUGAAGGUUGGGUAACACUAACUGGAGGACCGAACCGACUAAUGUUGAAAAAUUAGCGGAUGACCUGUGGCUGGGGGUGAAAGGCCAAUCAAACCGGGAGAUAGCUGGUUCUCCCCGAAAGCUAUUUAGGUAGCGCCUCGUGAAUUCAUCUCCGGGGGUAGAGCACUGUUUCGGCUAGGGGGCCAUCCCGGCUUACCAACCCGAUGCAAACUGCGAAUACCGGAGAAUGUUAUCACGGGAGACACACGGCGGGUGCUAACGUCCGUCGUGAAGAGGGAAACAACCCAGACCGCCAGCUAAGGUCCCAAAGUCAUGGUUAAGUGGGAAACGAUGUGGGAAGGCCCAGACAGCCAGGAUGUUGGCUUAGAAGCAGCCAUCAUUUAAAGAAAGCGUAAUAGCUCACUGGUCGAGUCGGCCUGCGCGGAAGAUGUAACGGGGCUAAACCAUGCACCGAAGCUGCGGCAGCGACACUGUGUGUUGUUGGGUAGGGGAGCGUUCUGUAAGCCUGUGAAGGUGUGUCGUGAGGCAUGCUGGAGGUAUCAGAAGUGCGAAUGCUGACAUAAGUAACGAUAAAGCGGGUGAAAAGCCCGCUCGCCGGAAGACCAAGGGUUCCUGUCCAACGUUAAUCGGGGCAGGGUGAGUCGACCCCUAAGGGCAGGGACGAAAGGCGUAGUCGA